AGCACUGACACUGAUGGCUCCUUGUGCACUGUUGGUUCAUUACAACACAGGAUCAGCCUCUGAAUCUCUUGGCUAAGUAACUUUUUAAAGCCAGUAUUAGUACUAUAUUAGUGCCAUACUGCUUGCAGCUUACUAACAAUUUUUUUUGAUUCAGAAGCAACUCAGUCUUUAUACUAAUUAGGUCAGCAGUGUAAAUUCUGUAGUUUAUCACAGUUUAGGAAGAACAUGAAAGUAACUAAAGAUAUUUUCUUACACAGUCACCUGCUCCUUUACAGGCAGUUGAAGAUGCGUAUGUACCAGCUGUCAAGUUUGAGUUUGAUGGCGUUGAGAUUGAUCUGAUGUUUGCAAGACCGUCUGUGCAAACGGUUUCUGAUAAUCUUGAUCUCGGAGAUGACUGGCAUCUGAGAAGCCUGGAUAUGAGAUGUAUACUGAGCUUAAAUGAGUUGCCAAUGAAAUGCUACAUCUAGUGCUAAAGGAAGAGAACUUCCGGCUCACGCUCUGUGCGAUUAAACUGUGAACAAAACAUGAGGAAGGUGAUUGUUCAUAAUCUUUAAGCUUUUCAGAGGCACCUCAUGCUGAAAAAAUAGGACCAUUAGAAGUACUUCAGCUUUGGAUAGCCAUUUAAAUGAGAGUUUUCAAGCAAAAAUCUGGUUUUUAGUUUAGAUUCAAGGUCUGUCCAUGGGGUAGAGUGGGUGUGUUUUUUAAUGGGGGUAGAGUGGGGAGAAGAGAGGCGUGACUACAAGACAAGGUGCUUUACUGCUUAUCAGGAACCUGACUACAGGUGAUAAAAAAGCCAAGUUAAGUAUAAAAGCUUGAUCUGUAAGGAAUAAGUAUUGUUUGUGCAUGUGGCUAGAGCAAGUGCUAGAAG
Molecule: long non-coding RNA, 868 nt
Organism: Athene cunicularia (burrowing owl)
Lineage: Eukaryota; Metazoa; Chordata; Aves; Strigiformes; Strigidae
Exons: 3
Source: RefSeq, a predicted model, not a curated record